UACAGAGGGGGCAAGCGUUGUUCGGAAUUACUGGGCGUAAAGGGCGCGUAGGCGGCCUUCUAAGUCGAACGUGAAAUCCCCGGGCUCAACCCGGGAACUGCGUCCGAUGCUGGAAGGCUUGAAUCCGGGAGAGGGAUGCGGAAUUCCAGGUGUAGCGGUGAAAUGCGUAGAUAUCUGGAGGAACACCGGUGGCGAAGGCGGCAUCCUGGACCGGCAUUGACGCUGAGGCGCGAAAGCCAGGGGAGCAAACGGG
This 253-nucleotide ribosomal RNA is filed under the name uncultured bacterium. RNAcentral describes it as "partial 16S ribosomal RNA". It matches the Rfam family "Bacterial small subunit ribosomal RNA", at positions 524 to 776 of the family's 1533-position model. The record is from RNAcentral.